RNAcentral lists this transfer RNA (75 nucleotides) under Pseudomonas aeruginosa. RNAcentral's name for it is "tRNA-Gly". It matches the Rfam family "tRNA". Rfam says of the family: Transfer RNA (tRNA) molecules are approximately 80 nucleotides in length. Their secondary structure includes four short double-helical elements and three loops (D, anti-codon, and T loops). Further hydrogen bonds mediate the characteristic L-shaped molecular structure. tRNAs have two regions of fundamental functional importance: the anti-codon, which is responsible for specific mRNA codon recognition, and the 3' end, to which the tRNAs corresponding amino acid is attached (by aminoacyl-tRNA synthetases). tRNAs cope with the degeneracy of the genetic code in two manners: having more than one tRNA (with a specific anti-codon) for a particular amino acid; and 'wobble' base-pairing, i.e. permitting non-standard base-pairing at the 3rd anti-codon position. Lineage: Bacteria; Pseudomonadati; Pseudomonadota; Gammaproteobacteria; Pseudomonadales; Pseudomonadaceae. The record is from RNAcentral.
GCGGGAAUAGCUCAGUUGGUAGAGCGCAACCUUGCCAAGGUUGAGGUCGCGAGUUCGAGUCUCGUUUCCCGCUCC